Molecule: ribosomal RNA, 704 nt
Filed under: uncultured Actinomycetes bacterium
Lineage: Bacteria; Bacillati; Actinomycetota; Actinomycetes
Description: bacterial SSU rRNA
Rfam family: Bacterial small subunit ribosomal RNA
Source: RNAcentral
UCGAACGCUGAAGCCCAGCUUGCUGGGUGGAUGAGUGGCGAACGGGUGAGUAACACGUGAGUAACCUGCCCCCUUCUUUGGGGUAACGCCCGGAAACGGGUGCUAAUACUGGAUAUUCACUGGCCUUCGCAUGGGGGUUGGUGGAAAGGUUUUUUCUGGUGGGGGAUGGGCUCGCGGCCUAUCAGCUUGUUGGUGGGGUGAUGGCCUACCAAGGCUUUGACGGGUAGCCGGCCUGAGAGGGUGACCGGUCACAUUGGGACUGAGAUACGGCCCAGACUCCUACGGGAGGCAGCAGUGGGGAAUAUUGCACAAUGGGCGAAAGCCUGAUGCAGCGACGCCGCGUGAGGGAUGACGGCCUUCGGGUUGUAAACCUCUUUCGCUCAUGGUCAAGCCGCAGCUUUGGGUUGUGGUGAGGGUAGUGGGUAAAGAAGCGCCGGCUAACUACGUGCCAGCAGCCGCGGUAAUACGUAGGGCGCGAGCGUUGUCCGGAAUUAUUGGGCGUAAAGGGCUUGUAGGCGGUUGGUCGCGUCUGCCGUGAAAUCCUCUGGCUUAACUGGGGGCGUGCGGUGGGUACGGGCUGACUUGAGUGCGGUAGGGGAGACUGGAACUCCUGGUGUAGCGGUGGAAUGCGCAGAUAUCAGGAAGAACACCGGUGGCGAAGGCGGGUCUCUGGGCCGUUACUGACGCUGAGGAGCGAAAGCGUG